CUAAGUCGCCCUUGCGGGUUUUCGACUUACCGGGUGUACAAAUUCUUUUCAUUUAUAUCCCUAAUUUUUGCCCGAACCUUUUCUUUCUGUUUUUUGGUUCGCCGGGAUGCCCCCUUUUUGCCUGGACUCUUUUAUUCCUUUUGUCCAGCGGGUCUAUUUAUGCGAAGUAUUUUUUGACUACAUCUGAGUUAACAGGGGACGGAAAAU
RNAcentral lists this long non-coding RNA (207 nucleotides) under Lathyrus oleraceus (garden pea). RNAcentral's name for it is "Pisum sativum (pea) long non-coding RNA (PSAT_LNC037831)". Lineage: Eukaryota; Viridiplantae; Streptophyta; Magnoliopsida; Fabales; Fabaceae. The record is from RNAcentral.